GAAUCAGAAAUCAAGAAAAAGCUUCUAACUUUAUUCUUAAGCAGUGAAACUCUGUUUAUGAUUCU
RNAcentral lists this transfer RNA (65 nucleotides) under Mecinus janthinus. Its description in RNAcentral is "tRNA-Ser". Lineage: Eukaryota; Metazoa; Arthropoda; Insecta; Coleoptera; Curculionidae. The record is from RNAcentral.